UAGGGAAUCUUCCGCAAUGGACGCAAGUCUGACGGAGCAACGCCGCGUGAGUGAAGAAGGAUUUCGGUUCGUAAAACUCUGUUGUUAGAGAAGAACAGCGCAUAGAGUAACUGUUAUGCGUGUGACGGUAUCUAACCAGAAAGCCACGGCUAACUACGUGCCAGCAGCCGCGGUAAUACGUAGGUGGCAAGCGUUGUCCGGAUUUAUUGGGCGUAAAGCGAGCGCAGGCGGUCAAUUAAGUCUGAUGUGAAAGCCCCCGGCUCAACCGGGGAGGGUCAUUGGAAACUGGUUGACUUGAGUGCAGAAGAGGAGAGUGGAAUUCCAUGUGUAGCGGUGAAAUGCGUAGAUAUAUGGAGGAACACCAGUGGCGAAGGCGACUCUCUGGUCUGUAACUGACGCUGAGGUUCGAAAGCGUGGGGAGCAAACAGG
Molecule: ribosomal RNA, 429 nt
Filed under: Bacteroidota bacterium
Lineage: Bacteria; Pseudomonadati; Bacteroidota
Description: Bacteroidetes bacterium partial 16S ribosomal RNA
Rfam family: Bacterial small subunit ribosomal RNA
Source: RNAcentral